Ceratotherium simum simum (southern white rhinoceros) is the source of this 244-nucleotide non-coding RNA. The record is from RefSeq and is a predicted model, not a curated record. Lineage: Eukaryota; Metazoa; Chordata; Mammalia; Perissodactyla; Rhinocerotidae.
ACAUCUUCUCAUGUAAGGUCUCUCUGCAUUCACCCUUGCUGACCAGAAAUAGCCUAAACUUGAAUCUCACGUGGAGGAGGACCAGUCACAUAUCACCCACUCAUUACCUGCCCUGAGGAGGUCCCGCAGAAAUCAGGAGUCUUUCAGGAGAGCACCUAGACUAUUCCAAAGCUAGGUUUUAAAUACCAUGUGCUUAGAGUUAUACCAGUCAGCUUAAGCUGAACUAUGCUGCAGUAACAAAUAA